Molecule: ribosomal RNA, 497 nt
Filed under: uncultured bacterium
Lineage: Bacteria
Description: partial 16S ribosomal RNA
Rfam family: Bacterial small subunit ribosomal RNA
Source: RNAcentral
GACGAACGCUGGCGGCGUGCCUAAUACAUGCAAGUCGAGCGAUGAAGCUUGGUGCUUGCACCAAUUUGAAGAGCAGCGAACGGGUGAGUAACGCGUGGGGAAUCUGCCUUUGAGCGGGGGACAACAUUUGGAAACGAAUGCUAAUACCGCAUAACAACUUUAAACAUAAGUUUUAAGUUUGAAAGAUGCAAUUGCCUCACUCAAAGAUGAUCCCGCGUUGUAUUAGCUAGUUGGUGAGGUAAAGGCUCACCAAGGCGAUGAUACAUAGCCGACCUGAGAGGGUGAUCGGCCACAUUGGGACUGGGACACGGCCCAAACGCCUACGGGAGGCAGCAGUAGGGAAUCUUCGGCAAUGGACGGAAGUCUGACCGAGCAACGCCGGGGGAGUGGAGAAGGGUUUCGGAUCGUAAAACUCUGUUGGUAGAGAAGAAAGUUGGUGAGAGUGGAAAGCUCAUCAAGUGACGGUAACUACACAGAAAGGGACGGCUAACUACGUG